GCCACUGCUAUUGGGGUUCGGCUAAGCCAUGCGAGUGGAGGGCAUCCCGCAAGGGAUGGCCCCGCAGACGGCUCAGUAACACGUCGUCAACCCACCUUAGGGUGGGGGACAACCUCGGGAAACUGAGGAUAAUCCCCCAUAGGCGGGGGAGGCUGGAAUGCGCCCCCGCUGAAAGCUCAGGCGCCCUAGGACGGGACGGCGGCCUAUCAGGUAGUUGGUGGUGUGACG
RNAcentral lists this ribosomal RNA (228 nucleotides) under uncultured archaeon. RNAcentral describes it as "partial 16S ribosomal RNA". It matches the Rfam family "Archaeal small subunit ribosomal RNA", at positions 23 to 246 of the family's 1478-position model. The record is from RNAcentral.